This 253-nucleotide ribosomal RNA is filed under the name uncultured bacterium. RNAcentral describes it as "partial 16S ribosomal RNA". It matches the Rfam family "Bacterial small subunit ribosomal RNA", at positions 524 to 776 of the family's 1533-position model. The record is from RNAcentral.
UACAGAGGGGGCAAGCGUUGUUCGGAAUUACUGGGCGUAAAGGGCGCGUAGGCGGCCGACUAAGUCAGACGUGAAAUCCCCUGGCUCAACCAGGGAACUGCGUCUGAUACUGGAUGGCUUGAGUUCGGGAGAGGGAAGUGGAAUUCCAGGUGUAGCGGUGAAAUGCGUAGAUAUCUGGAGGAACACCGGUGGCGAAGGCGGCUUCCUGGACCGACACUGACGCUGAGGCGCGAAAGCCAGGGGAGCAAACGGG